This 467-nucleotide ribosomal RNA is filed under the name uncultured bacterium. RNAcentral describes it as "SSU rRNA". It matches the Rfam family "Bacterial small subunit ribosomal RNA", at positions 26 to 521 of the family's 1533-position model. The record is from RNAcentral.
AGCCUGAACGCUGGCGGCGUGGCUAAGACAUGCAAGUCGUACGGAUGUAGCAAUACAUCAGUGGCGAACGGGUGAGUAAUGAAUCGCUAAUGUGCCCCGGACUCUGGGAUAGCCGGUCGAAAGGCCGGGUAAUACCAGAUGAUAUACCUUCAUCGCAUGAUGAGGGUCUCAAAGGUCCGCCGGUCUGGGAGCAGGCGAUUUCGUAUCAGCUAGUUGGUGAGGUAACGGCUCACCAAGGCGACGACGCGUAGCCGGACUGAGAGGUUGGCCGGCCACAUUGGGACUGAGACACUGCCCAGACUCCUACGGGGGGCUGCAGUACGAAUCUUCCGCAAUGCACGAAAGUGUGACGGAGCGACGCCGCGUGGAGGACGAAGUUCUUCGGAAUGUAAACUCCUGUCAGAGGAAAGAAAGUUCUGAUCUACCUCAGAGGAAGAGGCGGCUAACUCUGUGCCAGCAGCCGCGGU